Notolabrus celidotus (New Zealand spotty) is the source of this 675-nucleotide long non-coding RNA. RefSeq lists it as uncharacterized. NCBI's taxonomy places the organism in Eukaryota, Metazoa, Chordata, Actinopteri, Labriformes, Labridae. The transcript has 2 exons. The record is from RefSeq and is a predicted model, not a curated record.
AUGUUGACAGUCUGACCUGGAAACAGAGACAACACAACCAUCUUUGACCUUUGAUGUAAUCUGUAGCGUUUGAAGCUCGUGUUGCGUUCAAAUCCUGUUGUCUGGCUCCCCCUGGUGCUCAUUGCCAACCUCUUAUGAGACAAUAGAUCCACGCUGCUUAAAAUAUUCAGUAGUCCCAGUUUGCCCUGCACAUUUUCAUGCCUCUCUUUGUAUUUCUGAUAAUUGCCGGAGCUCAGGUCGCCCUCGACGCUGCUCUGAGGCUUCAGGGACUUGCUGGCUAAUCACAGCGAGUUGCCCAUCCUAUUUCCAGUUCUCACACACGGUCAAGUUCACCGCGGGGGAGGGCUUGGCAAGAUUGAUGACAAGGGAGGUCUGCAGUUUCCAAAGCACUUCCUCACCUCAGCGCUGCGGCAGGUCAGACAAGGUGACGGCUCCCUGCUGUCUGUGAUUCAUGGGUGUGCUAGGCAGCGUUUAAUGAGAGAGUAACUCAAGCCUUUUAUCACAGCAAGGGCUGAAAUAACAAAUGAGCAGCAGAUGAAAGAAGGAGGUGUGUUAGGACUGAUCCGGUGUUGCAGAUGCUGAUGUGGGUCCUCAGAAUGGCGAAGUGUUGGCAGUUAGACGUUCAUUCACUGAUCUUGCUUAUGUGGUGGUAUUAAAGAUGACUUGAACAUGAAA